AACGAACGCUGGCGGCAUGCCUAACACAUGCAAGUCGAACGAGAUCUUCGGGUCUAGUGGCGCACGGGUGCGUAGCGCGUGGGAAUCUGCCCUUUGGUUCGGAAUAACAGUUGGAAACGACUGCUAAUACCGGAUGAUGACGAAAGUCCAAAGAUUUAUCGCCAGAGGAUGAGCCUGCGUAGGGUUAGCUAGUUGGUGUGGUAAAGGCGCACCAAGGCGACGAUCCUUAGCUGGUCUGAGAGGAUGAUCAGCCACACUGGGACUGAGACACGGCCCAGACUCCUACGGGAGGCAGCAGUGGGGAAUAUUGGACAAUGGGCGAAAGCCUGAUCCAGCAAUGCCGCGUGAGUGAUGAAGGCCUUAGGGUUGUAAAGCUCUUUUACCCGGGAUGAUAAUGACAGUACCGGGAGAAUAAGCUCCGGCUAACUCCGUGCCAGCCGCCGCGGUAA
Molecule: ribosomal RNA, 449 nt
Filed under: uncultured bacterium
Lineage: Bacteria
Description: partial 16S ribosomal RNA
Rfam family: Bacterial small subunit ribosomal RNA
Source: RNAcentral